RNAcentral lists this transfer RNA (70 nucleotides) under Dactylortyx thoracicus. RNAcentral describes it as "tRNA-Val". The record is from RNAcentral. Lineage: Eukaryota; Metazoa; Chordata; Aves; Galliformes; Odontophoridae.
CAAGACAUAGCUAUAAACCUAAAGCAUUCAGCUUACACCUGAAAGAUAUCUUCAAACAAGAUUGUCUUGA